GAUCAAAACACAGGGGCGAACAAGGAUUCCCCACCAAACCCUAGUUCUUGACAAAUUGAUCAAAUUGAAGGCUCUAAUCAGUUCCAAAUCGAUUUUCAAGCACGGAUUAGUGAUCUCCUCUGAAAAAAAGGUCAUAAGGUAGAUUGACGCUCGAAAAGCUAGAUGGAAGCUUGGGUAGAAGCGGGUCAAACGGAACUAAUACGCAAGGAAAAGCAUAAUCGGAAUUCAAGGGUAAAACGGCUUAUGGAAAUUUGCGUUGCUAUAAAUUAGCAAAUUAUUGAAGCAAGGUAUUAAAUGGGUCAAUAUAUUGACCCGAGCCAGGUACGUAUAAAUAGGUUUACAGUUAAGAAUGAGUUUUUAGCCAAAUAAUUAGUAAGUCCUUUUUAGAAAAUGAGAGACUAAAAGUUUACCAAAAAAAAAGCCCUUGAUGGGUGAACCGGGUAAACGACCCUUAGAGGUUGUUUAGGAUCUUGUUUAUUGAUUAUGAAAUCCUUAGAUACAUAUAAAAGUUAUAGGCAAAAACAUUCGUGGAUCGAAUGCCUAAAAAUGGGUCAUUUGCGUAAAAUGACUAGUUGAAGGGUAGAAUUGGGAUUUUGGGUUCCUUACGUUAAAUCCACCACAAAAAUAGUUGUGGUGGAAGACAAGCAGUUAACUAGUAGUAACUAGUAUGGAAAUGCGAGGUAAGAAAGGAAAAUAGCGAGUUUGAUGCUUAAAUGCUUAAAGGUCUACUAAACGGGUCAAAAUAAAUUAAUAAGUUAAAUGUGAAUUAAGUGAUUAGAAAGAUACAUAUAAAUCGGUGAAUGUAAAUGCGUACGCGAACCUCGUAAUGGGAGUGAAAACGCUAAUGUUUGACUAGUACGGGAUGGGUAGAAAGGACAAGACAUGUUUUUAUCAUAUAAGUUAUAGUGUGAUGUUAUAACCAAACGGGUCGAAUAAUCAUAAAAGGGGAUUUAUAAGCCUUAAGCUUAUAAAUCUGAUUUUGAUGCAAAAAAAGAUGACAAACGGGUCCGUAAUUAAAUUACGGACGUGUAGGAAAAAGAAUUUCACGAAACGGACUUCUAGAAUGAGAGAUAUGGCAAUUUUAGGUUUGAAAAUUUGUAAAGAAUGGAGCUGGGCAAUUGCAGCACCAGCUAGCUAACUUGCUGUCAAAAAGAUGGUGUCGCGUCACGCGUUAGAAAAGCUUAGUCGUUGUCGCGCAACGCGAUGGAUGUCGCGCCCCGCGAGGGCCUUGAAAGCUGGCAAAACUGAUUUUGGUUGUUCGAUUUGUCUACGGAUAUGUUUUAAUAUGUUAUGAACAUAAUUUAACUAAAAUCAUUUCAUGUUUAUGAAAGGUAGGUGUGAGUUGAAGUGCCGGAGGACGAUCAAGCUCAACGAAGAACCGAAAAUGAUCAAUAUACAAGCUUCCGCAUUAUGUAUCGUCGUUAUUUUAAAUGACGAAUUUACACGUGUUAUGUUGUAUAAUUUUAAUUCCGUAAAAGUUUUUAUUAAACUCGUAUUUUUUUCAUUGUAUGUGUAAAGGAUAUUUACACGUUUUUAUCCGAAACUAAUAUAAUAAUAGCUAAUGGAAGUAAGGGUGUUACAGGAACCGGUUAUUUAUCAUUCUAACCUUCUUAUAUUUAGUAUAAAUAGUUGUUGAAGGCUUAGGUUUGAUUACACCACUUCUUUAACUCUCAAACCCUCUCUAUAACCGCAAAACCGCUCAAACCUCUCACUACGAUGGCAAAUAAUGAAGAAGUUGUUUUGGUA
Molecule: long non-coding RNA, 1746 nt
Organism: Helianthus annuus (common sunflower)
Lineage: Eukaryota; Viridiplantae; Streptophyta; Magnoliopsida; Asterales; Asteraceae
Exons: 3
Source: RefSeq, a predicted model, not a curated record